RNAcentral lists this long non-coding RNA (1162 nucleotides) under Phasianus colchicus (ring-necked pheasant). RNAcentral's name for it is "lncRNA (ENSPCLG00000016955.1)". The record is from RNAcentral. Lineage: Eukaryota; Metazoa; Chordata; Aves; Galliformes; Phasianidae.
CCCCACACCUCCCUGAUGUCCCACAUCCCCCCGAUGUCCCCACAUCCCCCGGUGUCCCCCCGGCCGAUGCCACUCACGCAGGUGAAGAGCAGCGCCCCAAGGGAGGCGUAGACGAUGUCGACGAUGCGGUUGCGGAGGAAGAUGCAGAGGAUGGAGAAGAGGAUGAGGACCACGAGGCAGACCAGCAGCACGCCGCGGCACGACGUGAAGUCGUACUUGGUCUGGGGGGCAGGGGGGGUCAGGAGGGCACCCAGUUGGUCCUCCAGCAUCCAACCGGGACCUCCAACACCCAACCGGGACCCCCAACACCCAACCAGGACCCCCAACGCGCAACUGGGACCCGCAGCACACAACCAGGACCUCCAACACCCAACCAGGACCUCCAACACCCAACUGGGACCUCCAACACCCAACUGGGACCUCCAACAGUCAACCAGAACCCCCAACACCUAACCAGGACCUCCAACACCCAACCAGGACCCCCCAGCACCCAACUGGGACCCCCAGCACCCAAUGAGGACCUCCAACACCCAACCAGAACCCCCAACACUCAACCAGGAUCCCCAGCACCCAACCAGGACCUCCAACACCCAACUGAAACCCCCAACACCCAACCAGGACCCCUGGCACCCUACCAGAACCCCCUGGCACCCAACCGGGACCCCCAGCAUCCAAUGAGGACCUCCAACACCCAACAGAACCCCCAACACCCAACCAGGACCUCCAACACCCAACCGGGACCUCCAACACCGAACCACAACCCCCAACACCCAACCAGGACCUCCAACACCCAACCGGGACCUCCAACACCCAACUGGGACCUCCAACACCGAACCACAACCCCCAACACCCAACCAGGACCUCCAACACCCAACCAGGACCCCCAACACCCAACUGGGACCUCCAACACCCAACCAGAACCCCCAACACCUAUCCAGGACCUCCAACACCCAACCAGGAACCACCAGCACCCAACCGGGACCCCCAGCACCCAAAUGAGGACCUCCAACACCCAACAGAACCCCCAACACCUAUCCAGGACCUCCAACACCCAACCAGGACCUCCAACACCCAACCAGGACCCCCAGCACCCAACCACGAUGCCCAGCACCCAACCGGGACCCCCAACACCCAACCGUGCCCCCCGGUACCAACCGGGAAC